UCCCUCUUAGCUCAGUUGGUAGAGCGUGUCACUAGUAUUAGUUCAUGACGAGGUCAGUCGUUCAAGUCGGCUAGAGGGAA
Non-coding RNA from Desarmillaria tabescens, 80 nucleotides. The record is from the annotation of a RefSeq genome assembly. Lineage: Eukaryota; Fungi; Basidiomycota; Agaricomycetes; Agaricales; Physalacriaceae.